RNAcentral lists this ribosomal RNA (496 nucleotides) under uncultured bacterium. Its description in RNAcentral is "partial 16S ribosomal RNA". It matches the Rfam family "Bacterial small subunit ribosomal RNA", at positions 29 to 507 of the family's 1533-position model. The record is from RNAcentral.
AUGAACGCUGGCGGCGUGCCUAAUACCUGCAAGUCGAGCGAACGGACGAGAAGCUUGCUUUUCUGAUGUUAGCGGCGGACGGGUGAGUAACACGUGGAUAACCUACCUAUAAGACUGUGAUAACUUCGGGAAACCGGAGCUAAUACCGGAUAAUAUUUUGAACCGCAUGGUUCAAAAGUGAAAGACGGUCUUGCUGUCACUUAUAUAUGGAUCCGCGCUGCAUUAGCUAGUUGGUAAGGUAACGGCUUACCAAGGCAACGAUGCAUAGCCGACCUGAGAGGGUGAUCGGCCACACUGGAACUGAGACACGGUCCAGACUCCUACGGGAGGCAGCAGUAGGGAAUCUUCCGCAAUGGGCGAAAGCCUGACGGAGCAACGCCGCGUGAGUGAUGAAGGUCUUCGGAUCGUAAAACUCUGUUAUUAGGGAAGAACAUAUGUGUAAGUAACUGUGCACAUCUUGACGGUACCUAAUCAGAAAGCAACGGCUAACUACGUG